CCUACGGUGGGCAGCAGUGAGGAAUAUUGGUCAAUGAACGAGAGUCUGAACCAGCCAAGUAGCGUGAAGGAUGACUGCCCUAUGGGUUGUACACUUCUUUUAUAAAGGAAUAAAACGAGGCACGUGUGCCUUUUUGCAUGUACUUUAUGAAUAAGGAUCGGCUAACUCCGUGCCAGCAGCCGCGAUAAUACGGAGGAUCCGAGCGUUAUCCGGAUUUAUUGGGUUUAAAGGGUGCGUAGGUGGGUUUUUAAGUCAGCUGUGAAAGUUUGUGGCUCAACCGUAAAAUUGCCGUUGAGACUGGCAGUCUUGAGUAUAUUUGAGGUAGGCGGAAUUCGUGGUGUAGCGGUGAAAUGCUUAGAUAUCACGCAGAACCCCGAUUGCGAAGGCAGCUUGCCAAGCCAUGACUGACGCUGAUGCACGAAAGCGUGGGGAUCAGACAGGAUUAGAUACCCUAGUAGUC
RNAcentral lists this ribosomal RNA (460 nucleotides) under uncultured bacterium. RNAcentral describes it as "partial 16S ribosomal RNA". It matches the Rfam family "Bacterial small subunit ribosomal RNA", at positions 338 to 795 of the family's 1533-position model. The record is from RNAcentral.